AGAGUUUGAUCCUGGCUCAGGACGAACGCUGGCGGCGUGCUUAAGACAUGCAAGUCGUACGAGAAAGCCUCUUCGGAGGUUAGUAAAGUGGCGCACGGGUGAGUAACGCGUGGAUAAUCUGCCCUUUGGUUUGGGAUAACCCCGGGAAACCGGAGCUAAUACUGAAUAAGACCACGAUGACUUCGGUCGAUGUGGGAAAAGAUGGCCUCUUCUUGAAAGCUAUCACCGAUGGAUGAGUCCGCGUUUGAUUAGCUUGUUGGUGAGGUAAAAGCUCACCAAGGCUACGAUCAAUAGCUGGUCUGAGAGGACGAUCAGCCACACUGGAACUGAGACACGGUCCAGACUCCUACGGGAGGCAGCAGUCGGGAAUAUUGGGCAAUGGGCGAAAGCCUGACCCAGCAACGCCGCGUGAAGGAUGAAGGCCCUAGGGUCGUAAACUUCUGUCGAGAGGGAAGAAUGCUUGCGGGUAAAUAAUCCGUAAGUUUGACGGUACCUCCAAAGGAAGCACCGGCUAACUCCGUGCCAGCAGCCGCGGUAAUACGGAGGGUGCAAGCGUUGUUCGGAUUUAUUGGGCGUAAAGCGAGUGUAGGCGGCUUAGCAAGUCGGAUGUGAAAUCCCAGGGCCCAACCCUGGAACUGCAUCCGAUACUGUUAGGCUAGAAUUCCGGAGAGGGUGGCGGAAUUCCCGGUGUAGGGGUGAAAUCCGUAGAUAUCGGGAGGAACACCAGUGGCGAAGCGGGCACCUGGACGGUAAUUGACGCUCAGACUCGAAAGCGUGGGUAGCAAACAGGAUUAGAUACCCUGGUAGUCCACGCCGUAAACGGUGAGAGC
Molecule: ribosomal RNA, 830 nt
Filed under: uncultured bacterium
Lineage: Bacteria
Description: bacterial SSU rRNA
Rfam family: Bacterial small subunit ribosomal RNA
Source: RNAcentral